AGAAGAAGUGCUUGCCAGCCAAAUGUGCAUGAUCAGAUGCCAAGGAGAGUCAACAGUAAAUGUGAUUCUUCAAGGGAUCCAGCUAUGGAAUUUGAAAUGUGACAAGAGUUUUCCUCUGUUAAAGAAGGGGAAAGAGUGCCCACCCAGGCUUUCCAAGCACACUGUGAAGGAUAUGAAGUAUUGAGACAUAAUGAUCUCCUCUCAAAUUAGAGGUUGCAAUCUAUUUGAGAAGGCAAAGGAACACAAGUGAAGAAAAAUUCUAAGUUGGGUGCUGUGAGCUGUAACUCCAAAAUUUCCCAGUGGUAGAGAAUCUAAAAAAGAGCAAGGACAGAAAAAGGAAGAGCAGCAAGGAUGCUACUGCACCAACCCAGGUCUAAAAGAAUGGGACUUGAUCCUCUUGACACCAUUUGGAAGAUCAUGUUUAGAAGAACUACAAAAACUAUGCUGGGCUUGUACAUGUCUCAGGACAUAAAUAUGGUUUUCAUAAAGCCCAGAUUGUAUUCCAAAAUAGCCCAUAAGUCCAACAACAGGUGUUAUAUAUUGUACCCUUUUUAAGCACUUUACUUUGAAGAGGGAUACAAAUGAGAGCUUCUGAUGAGAUGACUAGGGAUCUACUGGGCCAGCAUGUCUUGAAGAUGGAGCUUGCUCAUGUGAAUGGCUCAGCAGAUGCAGUGAACUCACAUCCCACUGGAGGCCAUCGCAUGGAGGGGGGGUAGCUGUGCCAAUGUUCAUGUGAAGAGGACACUGGGAAUUGAAGGAGGGAUCGAACUCGGGAACUUGUGCUUGCGAGGCAGGCGGCGGAAUCGCUGAGCUAAAUCCCUGGCCCCAUGCAAGUAAUUUUUGCACAUAUCUCAGUUCUUCAGGAACCAGAGAAAGCUUUGUGGUGUUCUUCAAACCAGAAAUUGCUCUACUCCAAAUCCAGAGAAGUCUUUUGGAAUCCCCUUUGCUACAACAACCUUGGAGGGAAGAAAACACGGUUUCUUAGAUUGUCUAUCCAAGGAACACACACCAGCCUUUUCACAGAAAACUGGCAGCUAAUCAAAAUAUACUGUUAGAGGUACAAGUGGUUCAAAAAGACUGAAGACCUAAAAGUUUAAACUUUUUUCUGACUUCCCUGACAAGGGCACUUUGCAGCCCAAGAUCUUGCUUCUCAGCACCUAGCACAGUUUGCCCCCAUGUUUUAGAUUGGUCUUUCUCCUCUAGAAGACUCCAGGAGGGCUGGUGCCCUGACAUAGGCUGAGUGCUCAGAAUUUGUUCAGUGAAUCAACAAAUGUUGAGCAGUUGCUGACAUGGAGGCUGAGAAUUCUCUACAAUUAGCAGAUCAGAUUUGAUAAAAGGAAAUGACCAGUCUGAUCUAGAUUCUUGUAGGUUGUAGACUACAUGUCUACAGUGCAUGCAUGGCAUUAGUGCAUGAAUGAUUUUACUGCAUGUGUGACACUGUAUCACAGAAUGCCAG
Molecule: long non-coding RNA, 1456 nt
Filed under: Heterocephalus glaber (naked mole-rat)
Lineage: Eukaryota; Metazoa; Chordata; Mammalia; Rodentia; Bathyergidae
Description: lncRNA (ENSHGLG00100042619.1)
Source: RNAcentral